UACGUAGGGUGCGAGCGUUGUUCGGAAUUACUGGGCGUAAAGAGCUCGUAGGUGGUUUGUCGCGUUGUUCGUGAAAACUCACAACUCAAUUGUGGGCGUGCGGGCGAUACGGGCAGACUGGAGUACUGCAGGGGAGACUGGAAUUCCUGGUGUAGCGGUGGAAUGCGCAGAUAUCAGGAGGAACACCGGUGGCGAAGGCGGGUCUCUGGGCCGAUACUGACGCUGAGGAGCGAAAGCGUGGGGAGCGAACAGG
Molecule: ribosomal RNA, 253 nt
Filed under: uncultured bacterium
Lineage: Bacteria
Description: partial 16S ribosomal RNA
Rfam family: Bacterial small subunit ribosomal RNA
Source: RNAcentral